This 332-nucleotide ribosomal RNA is filed under the name uncultured bacterium. RNAcentral's name for it is "bacterial SSU rRNA". It matches the Rfam family "Bacterial small subunit ribosomal RNA", at positions 568 to 898 of the family's 1533-position model. The record is from RNAcentral.
CGCGUAGGCGGACUUUUAAGUUGGUGGUGAAAUGCCGAGGCUCAACCUCGGAACUGCCUCCAAAACUGGAAGUCUUGAGGUAUGGAGAGGGAAGUGGAAUUCCAGGUGUAGCGGUGAAAUGCGUAGAUAUCUGGAGGAACACCUGUGGCGAAGGCGGCUUCCUGGUCAUAUCCUGACGCUGAGGUGCGAAAGCUAGGGGAGCGAACGGGAUUAGAUACCCCGGUAGUCCUAGCCGUAAACGAUGGAUACUAGGUGUUAGAGGUAUCGACCCCUCUAGUGCCGAAGCUAACGCAUUAAGUAUCCCGCCUGGGGAGUACGACCGCAAGGUUGAA